CACUAAGUUGAACUAACGAAGUCAGAUUGCUAAGACAGCUAGGAUGUUGGCUUGGAAGCAGCCAUUCAUUUAAAGAGUGCGUAACAGCUCACUAGUCGAGGAGUUUGGCGUGGAUAAUAAUCGGGCAUAAGUGUUUUACCGAAGCUAUGGGAUACGUAAGUAUCGGUAGGGGAGCAUUCCACUCUGCGUUGAAGGCGAAGCGUGAGCUUUACUGGAGCGUGUGGAAAAGCAAAUGUAGGUAUAAGUAACGAUAAAGGGGGUGAAAACCCCCCUCGCCGCAAGACUAAGGUUUCCUGAUCAACGCUAAUCGGAUCAGGGUUAGUCGGGUCCUAAGGCUCAGCCGAACGGUGAGGCCGAUGGCAGAACAGGUUAAUAUUCCUGUACUACCUGUA
RNAcentral lists this ribosomal RNA (392 nucleotides) under Bacteroides fragilis str. 3988 T1. Its description in RNAcentral is "partial 16S ribosomal RNA". It matches the Rfam family "Bacterial large subunit ribosomal RNA", at positions 1057 to 1452 of the family's 2925-position model. Lineage: Bacteria; Pseudomonadati; Bacteroidota; Bacteroidia; Bacteroidales; Bacteroidaceae. The record is from RNAcentral.